CGGAUGAUGACGUACAUUUUAAUUUUGAAAAAAGACCUUCAGAAUCGGGUGUUUUGACGAUGCCAUUUAUUGAUUACACCAAAAUGCCUAAGUUAAGGUUUUUACUGUGAAAUCCGGAUAUAUAUUCUUAUGUUUCGGAAUUUGCAAGAAACAGUUCCCGUUAAAAGGCUUCGAACUCGGAAGGAUUUUACACCAGCCACUCCUUAAAACGGCAGAUACUCGAUUAAACGACGCAGGACUAGGUGGACAAAUGGUCAUAAAUCACCGGACGAAAUUACAGAUUCCGUUGGAAUUUCGUAAGCUAAAUUUUGUGCUAAAUGCGGAAAAAUGGAUAUUUCAAUAAACAAAAAGCCCAAGGUUGUGUGUAAGAAAACACAUGCUUCUCAUUCAUCUUUUGUGUCCAUUGGAUUCAUUCUAUAUAUGUUCCGUGGAUCAAUCAUUGUGAAAUGAAUCUAUUAUAUCUGAUUAUAUAGAAAUGAACGGUGAAUUUAGGAAAUUUAUAAUCGGAGCCACGGAUGCAUUUACAAUAAUGAAUCUGAGACAUUCAAUUCAUUGGAUUAUUUGUGCCAUUUUCAAUAGGAUUUUUUGUGAAAUAUUAACAUUUAACGCUACUAAUUUCCUACAUUGUUCAUAUUAAAUUGUUUGAUUUGUCA
Saccostrea cuccullata (small rock oyster) is the source of this 653-nucleotide long non-coding RNA. RefSeq lists it as uncharacterized. The record is from RefSeq and is a predicted model, not a curated record. Lineage: Eukaryota; Metazoa; Mollusca; Bivalvia; Ostreida; Ostreidae. The transcript is spliced from 2 exons.